RNAcentral lists this ribosomal RNA (415 nucleotides) under uncultured prokaryote. Its description in RNAcentral is "bacterial SSU rRNA". It matches the Rfam family "Bacterial small subunit ribosomal RNA", at positions 505 to 918 of the family's 1533-position model. The record is from RNAcentral.
GUGUCAGCCGCCGCGGUAAGACAGAGGAGGCUAGCGUUGUUCGGAAUCACUGGGCUUAAAGCGGGUGUAGGCGGCCUGGCAAGUGUCGUGUGAAAGCCCCCGGCUCAACCGGGGAAUUGCAUGGCAAACUGCCAGGCUUGAGGUCGGUAGGGGUGCCUGGAACUCUCGGUGGAGCGGUGAAAUGCGUAGAUAUCGAGAGGAACGCCGGAGGCGAAAGCGGGGCACUGGGCCGAUUCUGACGCUGAGACCCGAAAGCGUGGGGAGCAAACAGGAUUAGAUACCCUGGUAGUCCACGCCCUAAACGAUGUCUACUAGGUUGUGGCCGUUCCGACGCGGUCACGGCCGAAGCGAAAGUGUUAAGUAGGCCGCCUGGGGAGUACGGUCGCAAGGCUAAAACUUAAAGGAAUUGGCGGGG